GUCGUGAGAUGUUGGGUUAAGUCCCGCAACGAGCGCAACCCUCGUUCUAUGUUGCCAGCACGUUAUGGUGGGGACUCAUAGGAGACUGCCGGGGUCAACUCGGAGGAAGGUGGGGACGACGUCAAAUCAUCAUGCCCCUUAUGUCUUGGGCUUCACGCAUGCUACAAUGGCCGGUACAAUGGGUUGCGAUACUGUGAGGUGGAGCUAAUCCCAAAAAGCCGGUCUCAGUUCGGAUUGGGGUCUGCAACUCGACCCCAUGAAGUCGGAGUCGCUAGUAAUCGCAGAUCAGCAACGCUGCGGUGAAUACGUUCCCGGGCCUUGUACACACCGCCCGUCAAGUCACGAAAGUUGGUAACACCCGAAGCCGGUGGCCUAACCCCUUGUGGGAGGGAGCCGUCGAAGGUGGGACUGGCGAUUGGGACUAAGUCGUAACAAGGUAGCCGUACCGGAAGGUGCGGCUGGAUCACCUCCUUAGAGUUUGAUCCUGGCUCAGGAUGAACGCUGGCGGCGUGCUUAACACAUGCAAGUCGAACGAUGACUUUUGUGCUUGCACAGAAUGAUUAGUGGCGAACGGGUGAGUAACACGUGAGUAACCUGCCCCUGACUCUGGGAUAAGCCUGGGAAACUGGGUCUAAUACUGGAUAUGCACCGUAGACCGCAUGGUUUUUGGUGGAAAGAAUUUUGGUCAGGGAUGGACUCGCGGCCUAUCAGCUUGUUGGUGAGGUAAUGGCUCACCAAGGCGACGACGGGUAGCCGGCCUGAGAGGGUGACCGGCCACACUGGGACUGAGACACGGCCCAGACUCCUACGGGAGGCAGCAGUGGGGAAUAUUGCACAAUGGGCGAAAGCCUGAUGCAGCGACGCCGCGUGAGGGAUGACGGCCUUCGGGUUGUAAACCUCUUUCAGUAGGGAAGAAGCGAAAGUGACGGUACCUGCAGAAGAAGCGCCGGCUAACUACGUGCCAGCAGCCGCGGUAAUACGUAGGGCGCAAGCGUUAUCCGGAAUUAUUGGGCGUAAAGAGCUCGUAGGCGGUUUGUCGCGUCUGCCGUGAAAGUCCGAGGCUCAACUUCGGAUCUGCGGUGGGUACGGGCAGACUAGAGUGAUGUAGGGGAGACUGGAAUUCCUGGUGUAGCGGUGAAAUGCGCAGAUAUCAGGAGGAACACCGAUGGCGAAGGCAGGUCUCUGGGCAUCUACUGACGCUGAGGAGCGAAAGCAUGGGGAGCGAACAGGAUUAGAUACCCUGGUAGUCCAUGCCGUAAACGUUGGGCACUAGGUGUGGGGGACAUUCCACGUUUUCCGCGCCGUAGCUAACGCAUUAAGUGCCCCGCCUGGGGAGUACGGCCGCAAGGCUAAAACUCAAAGGAAUUGACGGG
RNAcentral lists this ribosomal RNA (1373 nucleotides) under Arthrobacter sp. KJF4-6. RNAcentral describes it as "bacterial SSU rRNA". The stretch from base 467 to 1373 matches the Rfam family "Bacterial small subunit ribosomal RNA", at positions 1 to 917 of the family's 1533-position model. The record is from RNAcentral. Lineage: Bacteria; Bacillati; Actinomycetota; Actinomycetes; Micrococcales; Micrococcaceae.